GAUUUUUUAGUUUAAGAGGUUUAAAAUAUCUAGUUGUGGUUUAGAAGAUUUGAAAAAUUU
This 60-nucleotide transfer RNA is filed under the name Gongylonema pulchrum. Its description in RNAcentral is "tRNA-His". The record is from RNAcentral. Lineage: Eukaryota; Metazoa; Nematoda; Chromadorea; Rhabditida; Gongylonematidae.